RNAcentral lists this ribosomal RNA (120 nucleotides) under uncultured bacterium. RNAcentral describes it as "partial 16S ribosomal RNA". It matches the Rfam family "Bacterial small subunit ribosomal RNA", at positions 796 to 918 of the family's 1533-position model. The record is from RNAcentral.
CACGCUGUAAACGAUGAUUACUCGUUGUUGGGCAUUUAUGCUCAGUGGCCAAGCGAAAGUGAUAAGUAAUCCACCUGGGGAGUACGAUCGCAAGGUUGAAACUCAAAGGAAUUGACGGGG